RNAcentral lists this long non-coding RNA (345 nucleotides) under Linum usitatissimum (flax). Its description in RNAcentral is "long non-coding RNA (LUSI_LNC002728)". Lineage: Eukaryota; Viridiplantae; Streptophyta; Magnoliopsida; Malpighiales; Linaceae. The record is from RNAcentral.
AUUCGUCACCUACUUCUUACAGCAUUAAACACACUGAGAAAUGCAAACCUUGCCAAAAGUUCGUUCUCCUACGAGAACCGCUUUACAGUUGUCGUGGAGUGCCGAGGCAACCUGAAAUGAACACCUCGUAUUACUUAAAGGUAGAAGCAAAACCAAAUAUUUUGGAUUAGUUUGUCUCCUUAGUCCUUUUCCAUGAAAAGUUUACUUACAAUCUCACUUGCACUUGCAGUGUUGCUGUUAACCAACACCUGCAAUUCGUCAGACUUUGAGCAUUAGGUUAAACUGUGACCCGGAAAAGGAGUAAAUAGAACCAGUAGAUAAGAAGGACUUGCAUACAAUCACAGG